UACGUAGGGUGCAAACGUUGUCCGGAAUUACUGGGCGUAAAGGGUUCGUAGGCGGCCAACUAAGUCAGACGUGAAAUCCCUCAGCUUAACUGGAGAACUGCGUCUGAUACUGGAUGGCUUGAGUGUAGGAGAGGAAUGCGGAAUUCCAGGUGUAGCGGUGAAAUGCGUAGAUAUCUGGAGGAACACCGGUGGCGAAGGCGGCAUCCUGGACCGGCAUUGACGCUGAGGCGCGAAAGCUAGGGGAGCAAACGGG
RNAcentral lists this ribosomal RNA (253 nucleotides) under uncultured bacterium. RNAcentral's name for it is "partial 16S ribosomal RNA". It matches the Rfam family "Bacterial small subunit ribosomal RNA", at positions 524 to 776 of the family's 1533-position model. The record is from RNAcentral.